RNA transcript from Cebus imitator (Panamanian white-faced capuchin), 2563 nucleotides. It is a transcript of the gene named NADH dehydrogenase [ubiquinone] 1 alpha subcomplex assembly factor 4-like, with no coding region annotated. Lineage: Eukaryota; Metazoa; Chordata; Mammalia; Primates; Cebidae. The transcript has 2 exons. The record is from RefSeq and is a predicted model, not a curated record.
UGGAAGCAUCUCAUUCCGAUGAAAGUAAGGGACAGCUUAGGACCAGAAGCCUUUCGCGGAGAAAAGGCUGACAUGCCCGUCCUAUAUGACAGGAGACAAUACGGUUCUGUGGAUAUCCCAAAUUAGUUAUACAGGUAUCAGUUGAGUUGCCUUAAAUCUUAGUUGUUCAACGAAUUAUAAACUGACCUUUACAGCCCUUGGGACCAAAUUAAGGUAACAACGACUGGUUUUUAAAAAAUACAUUACUGGGAACCUGAGGGUAUCAUGUUAUGGGGGGAUGGGGGCUGCGGUGACUCGCAGGAUCAGGAAUUUCAACCUAGAGAACCGAGAAAAGCGGGAAAUGCGCAAGAUGAAGGCCUCUCCUCCUGCAGGCAUCCCUCUACCAACAGCCUCCUGCGAGAGCAGAUUAGUCUCUAUCCAGAAAUUAAGGGAGAGACUGCUCGUAAAGAUGACAAGCUGCUAUCAUUUCUUCAUUUCUAAGAGAUGUAUAUGUUGAUUUCAAAGAUCCUGUGUCUUCCAUGCUGGUAAAAGCUGCUGAAACAUGUCAAGAGCCAAAGGAAUUCAGAUUUGCCGAAAGGUCAUCACUUUGAUAUGAUAAAUAUUGAGAGCAUCCCCAAAGGCAUAAUUUCCAUGGUAGAAGCAUUGACACUUCUCAAUAAUCAUAAACUUUAUCCAGGAACAUGGGCUGCUGAGAAAAUAGCUCAAGAAUACCAUUGAGAACAGAAAGAUGUGAAUUCCCUUUUUAAAUGUUUUGUUGAAGUCAAAUCUUCCCUCUUGAAGACAAGAAAACAAUACAAUCGAAAUGAAGAAAAUCACAAAAAUUUCCUAUGUGUACUCCUCAUCCCUCAUCCUGUAUGUUUUCUCAUUUUUUCAUAUUAAAUUAUGUUAAUUACCAAGUGUUUAAUGCUCUCAUUGUGAGAGCAUACUCUUAAUAUUUAUUGAGCUCCCUGACUUUUCAAGAUUGCCAUAGAAUGUAUUUUGUUUUCUUUUAAUUUGGUUUAGGUAUAUUUCAUAUGUACAUGUCAGCAUGACUAAUCAGCACAUCUGUAACUUUAUUAUAAGUAAAAGUUAAUUUGUUAUUUUAGGCACAUCAUACCAACUUUUCAAUUGGUCAUAUGAUGCCUUGGGAAAUGUGUUGAAUCCCUCAUUUAAGUUUUACUUUCCAAGUUAAGUGUUUAGUUCAUUCUUCAUAUGUGAUAGUGAAAGUAGAAGCUUUCCUGACUCUUAAGACUGACAUUUUCUUGUCAGCAAAAAGAGACUGGAUAGCAAGGUAGACAAACAAUGUUUCUCAGAGAAAGACGCACAGUAGAAAAUAAUGAAUCAAUAGAAUCUAAUUAAAAUUACUACUCCUGGGAAUAAGAAAUAUUGAGGAUUUAUUUUAUUUUGAAUUGGUUUUAAGUAUGGAAUGAUUGUCUUUACAGUUAUAAAAUGUGAUUAAUUGUGUUUACAAAAUGUUGGGAAUUUCUGCUUUGACAAACAGGUAAGUCCCAUGGCCUUCAGAGAGGCAGGCAGAAGUGGAAACUUUUUUAACAUGGAAAUAGAAAAAUUUAAAGAAUAAUUGAAUCAAAAAAACACGGCAAAUGAAAUUUUGUGAUUAUAUAUUGUUUCGGAUGUUAACACUAGAGAGAAGAGAGAAAAAAUAGCAAGUAAAGGCAGAGAACAGGAUCAUUACAAGGGACCUGAGAAAUUGCUGCUUCAUCAAUUUUAGCAAACUUAGCAUAGCAUGUACCAGUACUAGGAUCUUGAGUGAGGUAUGUGAGUUUAGCUCUGCCUAAUAUGUUACUACUUGUGGGAUCUUUGGGAGACUAUAUCUUCUUUGAGAUGGAAUUUCUUCUAUAAAAAGAGCAUAAUGCUACCUUACUUAAAUUUAAGGGUUAUCAUGAAGAUAAAUGAAAUAGUAAAGGACUACAAAGGACCAAGCAAAUAUGGGUUAUUUUUUGCAGUGGAGAAACAAGCACCUGGGGAAAAUAUAUGACCUAAGGUUUUUAUAGUUUAUGACCUAACCAGGCCCAGAAUUUAGUUUUUCAAAUCCUAUUAGUGUGUUUUUUCUAUUGUGCCAAAAAUUGGCACACCUCAGAGAAGGGAAAAUGUGUGAAUUGUGGUUAUACUGGGGAUAGCAGUGUAUUUCUGAGGGAAGAUAGGCAUCACUACUUCCCAGAGAUGCCCCUGAAAAUGAUAUAGAAGAUGCUUAAGAAUUCAACAUGAUGGCAGAAUGAGGCAUUUGUAGUAAUGCUGAGAACAGAAAAAUGAACUAAGUGGAAAAUUUGUAAGCAUGCUUUUGAAUGUAGAUUUGUUAUGUGAACAAACUACCUAGUUUAUUUUUAGUUCAAUACAAUAGUUGUUUUAAGAAAACAUGAAAUAACUUCUCAAUAUAAAAUGCAUUUAAAAACUACUGUAAAUCAGUCAAAACUUUAUUCCCUUUAUCCUAAUGGUCACUAGUUGAGUCACUAAUACUAGUACACUCUAUUUCUGAGCCAUCUUUAUUCAUGUCUACAUUGUGUGGUUGGGCAGCUGUUAUGCGGGGUCACCUGAUAAAGAACUUCUUCCCAUACCAUUAAAAAAA